RNAcentral lists this long non-coding RNA (3044 nucleotides) under Solanum tuberosum (potato). RNAcentral's name for it is "long non-coding RNA (STUB_LNC007404)". Lineage: Eukaryota; Viridiplantae; Streptophyta; Magnoliopsida; Solanales; Solanaceae. The record is from RNAcentral.
AGUUCCCAAUGUCUGAAAAUUGUCAGGUCUAACAAGCUAUUUCGAGCAAUUCUAGGUCCAAUUUCUGUUAAGUCCAUGAAGGAGAUGAGCUUCAUGCAAAUUCCAACCUUCUAUGAGUGGAGAGAAGCCUAUAUUUGUCUAGAAAGUAACAAAGUUCAGGUGGGGUAUGAUAUUGUCUACUAUUACUCUUAGCAUCACUAAAAAGUAAGCAGUGUGUUGAUGAAAUCCAUUUGCUUAAUGGACCUGCAAUGAUGAAAGACAUAAAAUUUAGCCAAUGUGUGCACAAUUUAAUUUAAAAUAAAGGGAGCUAAUUUGUUCAAUAUCAAGAUGAUACACAAGCAUUUUUAUCCUAGAUACUUUAUGCAGAAUGCAUUGACUUAAUAAUGUGCAACUUUAAUUUAGCUAAUAUCAAGUGCUUACAAAGAGGAGUUCAAUUUUCACAACACAUGGAGUAACAUAUUUUAUGCUAAAUUUUAACAGUGAUUAACUGAAGAAUACAGAAUAAAUCCUUAAAGUAUGUAAGAAUAAAUCAGUAUGUGACUAUAUUCGUUAGUUAGAGACAGCAAGAGAUUUCUUUGCAUUUCAAAAACUCUUAAAAGAAUCAAUAAGAAGGAGGGUAAUGUGAUUGAUUCAUUAUAGUAUUGAUAUAUUGAACUUCAUAGAUAAUUUUCCACAUUAUAUAAUCAAGUUGUAGGUAUAGCUCCUUUAAAUAAUAUUAAAAAGAUGUGUAAGUAUAUCUUAUCUUGUCUUUCUAUCUUGAAAGAUCAAAUAGUAAUUUUUUAGUUGUUUCAAGUUACUCAAUAAUUAGCUCAAUACGUCAAAGUAAAAUAAAAAAAUAGUAAGGUCAAAAGUUCUAGAGUAACUCACUGGGAAGUAGGUACUUGCCUCGAAACUCUUUAAAAAUUAUGUACUCUUUCAAUGGAAGUACUACAUCAAUCGAAACUGGUCAAGUAUAACAUAGGGCUUGUAGUAAAAGCAAGACGCUAAGAUAAAGAAGAGUUAAGAUAAGAGAUACUAGAAUAAUGGAAACAUAGCUCAUUAAAGAAAUUUAAUCAUAUAAGAUUUCUUCAAUCCAGUUCUACUUGAGCAAAGAUGCAACCAACACAAAUGAAAGAAAGUAAAAUAUUAAACACAAUAAUUAACUCAAUACUUUCAACUUUAAAAGAGAAGGCGCAGGGAACACACUUCCAUUUCAAUGAAGUAGUGAUAAAAGUUUAUAGCUAACAGGUAACACCAUAAGAAAAAAAUGUAGCAAACAACUAGUAUCAAAGCUACAACUAACAAUUUUAAAAAUAAGAAGCAACUAAGAACAAUACAAUACCUCAUCUUCUGUUCCUUUUAAACUUUGUCUAUGAGUAAGUUCGACAACAAUAAUUAAGAGAGAUGUAAAAAGCUUGUAAACAACUAAACACUUGGCCACAACCUCAUCUUUUAUUUUUUUUUGCUUUUUCAAUUGUAUUCUAUUGCUUCUUAGAAGUAUUUUUUGACCUAUAUGGAGGGGACUUGAUCCUCUUUCGUGCUAUAUACCAAGAAAAAAUCUAGAAAAACGAAAGGUACAAGAAGUAAUGCAAUUAUAUAAGUUAAUCACUUCAAAAAACAAUAAUGUAACAAUAUAUUUGUCUUACAAAAGAGGUCAUUCUUAUAUCUAUCCAUAUCCUUCACAAUUAAAUAAAAUAAGUUCAGCAAGUUGAACAUUGGUACAAAUUAAAAUCAGUGAACACCACAAGUAAAUUAUAGGGAGGGUAAAGUAAUAUAAAUAAAGGAAAAACAAACACACAACAAUAGCUGAAGAAAAUAAAAGGACUAUAACUAAGGACAACAAACUCACAAACUCCAUGCUAACGCUCAUGGAAGCUAUUUUAAUUCAUUGAAACACGUCAUUCUCAUCUCAUUGUGGACGCUAAAGUAGAUAAAAUACGAGGUCUUCUUCUUAAACAAUCAUUGAGAUAUGCACUAAUUAUUAAAAUCUAAUAGUUGAAUCAUAUCAAUACCCAUUUAUCUUUUUUGAAAUUUCUUUUUCUGUCAAUGUAUAGCAUGUUCUAGCUAUAAGAUUUUCUAAGCUAGUUGCAAUGCUUAAAGAGAACAUACAUUAAAGAAAUACAAGAAUCUCUGAAUGUGUACAUCCAUAGUAAGUAAAAUUUAACCAAGUGAACAACUCAAGAUUACUCAUCCACAUGAUUUCAUAAAGUACAGAUAGUUAAAUGAGUAGUAAAAUAAAUUUCCAGCUUAAUAUUUUCUUUGAAAUAGUAAAUUAACCUAUCCUAUCAGUGUUACCUUCACUACAUUGGUUACAUACUACUUAAAACAAUAUAAUUCUGAAAUGAAGAGCAAAAUAAAAACACCUAUUGUUUGAAUUCAACCAAUUCACCGUACAGUAAAAGCCAUAAUUAUAGCCUAACCUUAGGUAUCCUUGGUCAUCCAAGCAAAUUUCCAGAUGACUAAUUGUCUUCUUUAGAUGAAUAUCAAAGUUCAUAUGUAUGAUUUUAAAUUUUCUUAUAUCUAGUUUCUCUGUUCAAUUGUCUUAUUUUUUACUCUUUAAGGAAAAAUUACAAAAUCAUGGUGCAAGAUUGAACAUGAACUAGUUUAUAGCUUUUAAUAUACUAAAGAAAUUAAAUAGCUCUGUUUUCUUAGUUGUGAGUAUUCUCAUUCGCCAUACCAAAAACACAAGUGUUUAUACAUGCAUCAGAAAGGACAUUUAAAAAAAGAAACACUUUUGUUCUCUAAAUUAUUUGUUCAUACAUAUCAAACAUUUAGAGGGAAAUAGCUUCUUUCCCCAGAUCUAAGCCCUUUUUUAACAUCUAACACUAACCACCAUUCCUCACACAAGGCCCAAUACUCCAAGUUACAGAUCUCGCGAUAAAACAAUCAGUAUUAGGUAAAAUCAAUUUCGGAAGUUUUUAUUCUCAAACAAUCAAUGUUCAUCGAUAAAAAAUUUCUUCUUUUAAAUCCAAAAAAGAAAAGACCGAGAAAAUAGACAAACCUGUUCGAAUAGACAUAUUUUUCAGCGAAUUUGUGAAUCUUCAACCACUUUAGAUAGAUAUGGA